Molecule: ribosomal RNA, 181 nt
Filed under: Pelobates cultripes (western spadefoot toad)
Lineage: Eukaryota; Metazoa; Chordata; Amphibia; Anura; Pelobatidae
Description: SSU_rRNA_eukarya
Rfam family: Eukaryotic small subunit ribosomal RNA
Source: RNAcentral
AUGCUAGAGCACUUUUUCAAUGUGCUCCUCAACGAGAAGGCGACGACGCAUUUGUAUGUCAAUCCAUAUCAACUUUCGAUGCCAUUGACUGCGCCUACCAUGGUGACCACGGGUAAUGGGAAAUCAGAGUUCGAUUCCAUACAGGAACCCUGACAAAUGGCUACCACAUGCAAGGAAGGCA